GAGAGAAUUCCAAAUGAUGAUGAAGAUGUGGAGGAUGAUUUUGGAGAAAGACCACCACCUACGCCUUUGAAUGAGAGUAGUUCUCAUAGAAGAGAUGGAGAUGAUUUUUUCUAUGAUGAUUUUGAUUGAACGAUGUUUCUAGACUAGUGUAGAGAGUCUAGACAUUAUUUUGGCUUGCUAUGGUGGUGUUUUAUUAGUUAUUAGACUACAUAUUUGUGAUGGUUGGUUGCAACUUUAUUUUCUAUGUGGUGUUUGUUGAAUUAUUCAUUUCUUUUACUAAUUUUUAAUAUCAAGUGUUUUGUUUUUGGAUUGUUAUUGCUAAGUAUUUACAUAAUUAUGCCUUUAAUGUUAUUCUAUAGUGUUAUGUUUUGAGUUUUAAUGUUAUUCUAUAGUGUUAUGUUUUGAGUUUUAAUGUAUAUGAAAUUUUAUUCCCAGUAUACUUGUUAAGUAAAAUAAAUAAUAUAUAAAUUGUACAUUGUAAACGACUUGUCGCCUUACGGACGCCAUGACGGUUGCCUUGUCGCCUAGGCGUCCAGGCAGUCGGCUACUGCCAUGACUCGCCGUAGCGCCGUAACAACUAUGGUGUGCAAUCCAUUACAUGUUAGUCUAACCUAAUCUAAUGAACAUGAUAAUGUAUUGGACAUGUAAUAAGAUGUUAUAUCAAAUUGUUAACAUACAUGUGGUGAAAUUGCAUGAUGAUUUGAUAAGUUGUAUAAGGGCUAAAACAUGAUGUCUAUGAAAGGAUGUAAUGUAGUUUAAACUUAAGAUUUGAGACUUUAGUCUUGUAUGUGUGAUUGAUGGUAAUGAGCAGAACUUAAACUAAGUUAACAAGUUGUGCUAAAAGAGGGAACUAAACCUAUAAGGUUAAUAUUAAUGUAACUAAUGAAUGUUGUGAAUACAUAUGGUAUGUGUGUAGGACUUGUAGUGAACGUGAGUAGUAAUCGUUUAGCCUACUCACGAGGCAAGUUUCCGAACCCUACUCUUAUGUUAAGCAAGUUCAUUAUCAUAACUUGAUUACGUUUAUGCAAGUUCCUUACCCUAUCUUGAUUAUGAUUAUGCCAAUUUUCCUUACUCUAUCAUAAUUAUAAUUACGCAAGUUCCAUGACUCUAAACUUACAUUGAGCAAGUUCUUAAACAAUAAUAUUGUUGAGCAAGCUCCGUAUUCUUAUUUCGAACUGUUCAAAGCUUAAUCAUUCAAGUUCAUGAUUUCAAAUGAAAUGUUCUUAACUCUUUUAAAGUAUUACUUUUGUUAUACAAUGUUCAUUCACUUGUAUAAAGUUGAGAUUCAAUCUUUGAUUUAAAUAUUGAUUAUAUUAUCGCAUUGAAACCUCGAAUGGAUAGUGAAUCCUUAUUGAUUCAACUAAUCCUUAGUUGAUGAUUAUUGAACUCUAAAUUACCCUUGAAGUUAAUCCAAAUCAAACUUCCUUUGGUGCGGACUCUAAUGUCAAAGCUGAGAUAAACAACCCUGUUACGGUGGAUUAUAUUACGCGACAUCGUCAAGAUGUUGUGCACAUACAUGGUACUAAGGGUUGAUCCCCCUAAGAGAAGUAAGGCCCAUAUAGUCUUAUGACUGUUAAAAGUUAAAAGUAGAAAUGCUUGAUAACCUAGGACAUAGUUCAUGGUCUUGUGACCCUCAGAUAUACUUUUGAUUCCUGUUCUAAUCUUGAUUCAAAAACCGUGCUUUCUUUUGUUCAGUAUCCAUUAUUUACUCGCAUGUUAUUAUUAUUACUAUUGUUAAAACUUGUGGGCAAUAGUUGUUCACUCCAUAGUUGUUAAGUCGUCGCCUAGGCGACGCCUAGUCGACCAGUCGCUAAUGAACAGGUAAGGCGAGCGACGACUUGGACGAAGCCGGAAAGGCGAGCGCCUAGAGAAAAAAGGCGUCGACUUGGACCGAAAGGCGACGACUUCGUCGACUAGGACAGAACGGCGACGACUUGGCCUCUAUGGGUUGACCCAAAUGGCAAAAUCUGAACCGGGUCUUAAAAUAAAAACGACGUCGCAAGCUAAAAGGAACAGUACUGAUAAAACAAGUCCUAGAAAAGUCGAUCGAUCGAUCGAUUACCGAGAGGCGAGAGCUAUCAGCUAAGACAGAGACUGCUUAGCGCUUACCGAAAACCGCGAGCGAGCGAGCGAGCGAGAGCGAGCGAGCUGACAGUUGAAGAAGGAAGCGAGUUGGUCGGAGUUGGCAGUCGGCAGUUGAAGAAGGAAGCGAGUUCUUCUUCCCUUUUUCGUUUUCGGCAGUCGACAGGUAAAUGGGUAAUAACUAAUACGCGUUGGGUUUUAUAUAUAUUAUACAUAUAUAUAAUAUUUGUUGUAUAAUUAUUAUACUUGUUUGGUUUUUUUUUUCUUUCUAAUAAUUCAUUUCUGUUGAGUACCCACUGUUUGGCUGUUUGGCUUUAUUUUUUUUCCAUAUCAUUCAUUUCUAAUAAUUAUAAUGCAUGACUGUUAGUAAUACUAUUAAUUAUAUGUAAAUUAGUACUACUAUUAAUUAUAAUGCAAUAAUGCAUGACUGUUAGUAAUAAUUUUGACCUUAACUGCUAUUAUUUUGAACUAUUAUUUGUUAUUACUACUAUUAUUUUGAACUAUUAUUAGUUAUUUGAUAUAACUAUAUAUAUAUUAUAUAGUAUUAAUAAUGUCAGCAUCAGAGAUAUUUGUGGGUGCAUUAUGAGAUUGUGAAUUCUAUAUAAAUAUUAUAUUUUAUGUUUGUCUUAUAUUUUGCUUUUGAUUGUAUUGUGUAGACAAUAAAAUGACGGAAAGUUCGGGGGCCGAUAAUUAUGAUAUAACGAAGGACCCUAAAAGAAAAGCUAAAUCGAACGAUCGGGUUAGAAAUAUGGAUAUUGCCGGAUUUGAGUAAUAAGGAUAUCGUGCAAUGUAUACUUUGUGGGAAGAAAUGUCAUUCGGGCAUCAAAAGGCUCAAACAACAUCUAGCCGGAAAUUAUGGAGAUGUAGCUAAGUGUCCCAAAACAAUAACAGAAAUUAUGAGGGAGAUGCAAGCGGCUUUGAAUAGUAGAAAGAGGAACAAGUCACUUGAGCUAGAUGAUGAUGAUGAUGUAGUAGAAGUGCAGGAAGAACAAUCAUCUGCUCGUCCAACAAUGGCUUCCAAUGCUUCUUCUAACACUAUCCCAAGUUCUGGGACGGCUUCUAAAAGGAAGAAUGUUGUAUUUCAAUUCUAAAAUCCACAACCAAAAGCUAAGACGGUUGAAGCACUUCUAAGGAAAACUUCCGAAGAAGUUGUAGAGGAGAGGCAUAGCAAGCGUUUGAGCCAAACGAGUAUUGAAAGUCGUUUGAGGACACCGGAGGAAAAGGAGAGAGUCCAAAUGCACGUUACCGACUUUUUUUACGAAUGUGGCAUACCAUUCAAUGCUGCAAAUUCAAGGAGAUUUGAAGUAAUGGUCGAGUCCAUAGGGCAAUAUGGGCCGGGUUUCAAGCCUCCAACAUAUCAUAAGUUGAGAGUUCCUUUACUUGAGAAGGCAAAGAAGAAAACCGAUGACUUAAAGAAGAAACAUGAAGUUGCUUGGAAGGAAUACGGCUGCUCACUCAUGUCGGAUGGUUGGACAUAUAAGAGGGGAAGACACUUGUUGAAUUUUCUUGUUAAUAGCCCGGAGGGGACUUAUUUCAUGGGUUCUGUUGAUGCCUCAAGUCAGUCUCAAGAUGCCACAAUGUUGGCAAAUCUACUUGAUAGCAAGAUCGAGAAAAUUGGCCCCGAGUAUGUUGUUCAGGUGGUCACAGACAAUGCCUCUAAUUACAAGGCAGCGGGGCAUAUACUACUGAAGAGGAGACCUACACUGUUUUGGACACCUUGCGCCGCUCACUGCCUUGACCUUAUGUUAGAGGACAUAAGCAAGUUGAAGAAAUUUCAGCCCACAAUCACAAAUGCAAGGAGAAUUACAACAUUCAUUUAUAGACAUGGUCGUCUUCUCAGUGCGAUGAGGGAGAAAACGAAUGGGAGGGAUCUUGUGAGACCCGCAGUUACUAGAUUUGCUACAGCUUUCCUCACCUUGCAAAGUUUGUACAAGAAUAAAGAUGCAUUGAGGCAUUUGUUCAUCAGCGAGGAUUGGUCAAAAUCAAAGUUGUCGGCUACUGAAGCGGGAAAGAAAGUAUGUGAUACUGUUAUUUCAACAACAUUUUGGCAUACUGUUGAGGAUUGCAUUAGGGCGUCACAACCACUUCUUAUAGUCUUGAGGAUUGUUGAUAGUGAUGAGAAGCCUGCUAUGCCUGAAGUUAUUGCUGCGAUGGAAUGCGCGAAUAAAAAAAUCAAAGAUGUAUUUGAUAACAAACAAAGACUGUAUAAGAAGGUGAUUGAAAUUGUUGAGCGGCGAUGGGAAAAUCAAAUGGAGCAAAAAUUAUAUGGGGCUGCGUUGUUUCUCAAUCCAGGCAAGUACUUUGAUAUCAAAGAGGAACGUCGGUUGUUUGCUAAUGCUUUACGAGAUGACUUCAAUGACGUUCUUGCAAAGAUGGUGUCCGAGUUAGAUUUGCUAGACAAGAUAAGCAAUCUAGCCGACAACUAUGAUGCUUCUCGCGAUACUUUUGCAAGAGAAAUGGUGAUUAGGCAACGGAAAAUAAAGAAUCCUCGUACGUAUAUUAAAAUAUAUAUAAAGAUAUAUUUUGAUUAUAAUUUAUAUACAUUCUUCAUUUCCUCCCUUUAAAAAUAUUUAUAUUUCUUUUAAAUGUUUGCUAGUUGAUUGGUGGAAUGCUUUUGGAGCGCGAGCUAUUGAGCUAUCCUCAUUUGCAAAAAGAAUUCUAGGCCUCUGUUGUUCUUCUUCCGGUUGCGAGCGCAAUUGGAGUACAUUUGAGUUUGUAAGUACUUUCUAUUGUUAGUUCAAAUUUCAAAAGUAAUAAAUCAUUCACUAUUAUUAAAAUUUUAUCAUUAAUAUUAUUAUUUUUUGUUCUAUUUAUUUUAGAUUCAUACGAAGAAGAGGAAUAGAUUGGAACACAAACGAUUGAGUGACUUGGUGUAUGUCCAAUACAAUCGAAAGAUCGACUCAAGGUUCCAAAAGAGGCGUGAACUUGGCAAUAAUUUUGAUCCAUUAGUCAUUGAUGACUUUGAAUGGGGUAAUGAAUGGAUCGAUAAUGAUGCCGAUGUUGUUCAUCCCAGGGGGAAUCUUACAUGGAAUGAUGUGGAUCGAGCAACCGGUGCAUCCAACACGCUUGAGGGUCGCAAUCUUUCAAGGAAUGCUCGUGCUAAUACUAGUAAUAAUCUAGUGACAUACUCUCGACGUGGUGGUGGUUCAACUUCAAGGGAAUCAAGGUUGAUAGAUUCCAACUCCGAUAAUGAAGUUGAUGAAGAAGAGAGAAUUCCAAAUGAUGAUGAAGAUGUGGAGGAUGAUUUUGGAGAAAGACCACCACCUACGCCUUUGAAUGAGAGUAGUUCUCGUGGAAGAGAUGGAGAUGACCUUUUUUAUGAUGAUUUUGAUUGAAUGAUGUUUCUAGACUAGUGUGGAGAGUCUAAACAUUAUUUUGGCUUGCUAUGGUGGUGUUUUAUUAGUUAUUAGACUACAUAUUUGUGAUGG
RNAcentral lists this long non-coding RNA (5510 nucleotides) under Panax ginseng (ginseng). RNAcentral describes it as "long non-coding RNA (PGIN_LNC006135)". The record is from RNAcentral. Lineage: Eukaryota; Viridiplantae; Streptophyta; Magnoliopsida; Apiales; Araliaceae.